Molecule: non-coding RNA, 1841 nt
Organism: Arachis ipaensis
Lineage: Eukaryota; Viridiplantae; Streptophyta; Magnoliopsida; Fabales; Fabaceae
Source: RefSeq, a predicted model, not a curated record
AAGGCGCUGCCGUGCAGCGCGAAGCCGCCGCCACCGUCGCACGCUCUGUCGCUGCUACUGGUGAUGGGUUGCCGAGCCUCGCCGUUGUGCCUGGUUGCCGAGAAACGGCGUUGCCGUUGCUGGAAUCCACUGCCGUUUCUGUCAUCAGAUCCUGGGGCCGCUGCCGUCACUUGAGGUAGCUGCCGGAGCUUCUACCGCUUCGUUGCUGCAUUUCUCUUUAGCUGUGGGUCGAGUUCUGGAAAUUGUAUGAUUAAAAUAAGGGGUGCUGCGCUGUCAUCUUUCUUCAUUUCUCGUGAUUGCUGCCGUAAGCUAAGACUAAAAAAGGACUCUUGACGCAUUAACCUUUAAAGGUUUCGACUUUUGAGGCUCAAUAUUAAAUAAAUAUAGUACGAAAUCAAAGAAGUAAAGGUAGAUAAUGCCUAGACUUUUAGUGUGAUCAUGAGGUGCUAAAAGGAAGUGUGUUACAAAAAAAAGGCAGACAUACCACAAGGUGGGCUUCGCUCGACGGAAGCUCACUAUGAUUCUUCCCAAACAAUGCCGGAGGUGAACUUGGGAAGUGAAAAUGAUCCUAUCUUUCAAACAAAGACAGAUCAAAGCAGUGUAAACAAACCAAGUGAUAACAUUGGAUUUCAAGUUGGGUGGAGAAGAAGAAUCAUUCAAUGACCUAGCUCAAGAAAAAAUUAUCGUUCUUCGGAAAGAGACACAUUCAUAAUCUGAACUGCUCGACAUACUUCCACUUAAAAUUUGUGCACCUCCAUCAGAGACAAUGGCAUCAAGCCCCGCAAAGUCUCCCAGCAAGGGAUCUAAAUAUCAAACAAUUAAUGCCACUCUACAACCCCAUUAACCUGCAGAAAGUACACCCACAGAGCUAGCAGCUCCUUCUAAAAUUCAUCCACCUUUUCAAGCCACUGCUGCAUUAAUGAUGAUUGCCAGGACAACAUCGUUUGUAAAGCGUGAAUUUCCUACGCCAUCGUUCAGCCUUAGCUUUACUGAUUCGAGUCAGGAUGAAACAUUGACUCAGGCUGGGCGACCGGCUAUUGAGAAGGGAAAAAGCCAAGAGAGCCUGUACUGGUUAAAGAUUUAGAGGAGCUGGUGGAGCAGGUUUGUAAACACUGAGGUUGCGACAACUUUAAAUUUUGAUGAGGAUAGAAGUCCAACACGCCAAAAGGUGUAGCCCGCCGAGCGCUUUGUUGACAAGUUCGAAACUUCUACGAGGCGAAGCAAAGUAUCGGGUGACCUCAAAGAAAAGUGCUUUUUCUGGGCCACAAAUAUGAAGACCUAUGACGAUGGAAGCACUAACGAGUGGGACGUAAUGUGCAUCCUCAACCAUCAACAACCGAUGUAAAUAACAAAAGGCCACUUUGCAUCUUUAAAAGCCAACACAUAUAUUAAAGCUAAGGGCUACGCGAUUUCUAGAAUGAGGGUAUUUGCUGGUGGCCAACCUCUCAGAAAAAAGGAAAAUCAAAUUAAACCGCCAGAUGUCAACAUUGUGGCCCAACAAAUGAGCUAUGAUUGUGCUGUUUAUGUAAUGAAAUAGCUCAAGAUAAUCGAACCCGAAGACAUUAAAAAGGGCAAAUAUGGCUGGGAGAAUUGGACGCAGGCGGAGGUGGACCAUUUUAGAGUUGAAUACGCUCCGUUGAUUCUAUUUGAUGAAAUGAAUCAACUAAGAGAUAGAGCCAUUCAAAAAAGCGAAGCAAUCAGAUUGUCCAAGCCAUCUGCAACAUUGUUGAGUCCAUAUUGUCAAUUACAUUUAGAAGAUAUUGACAGUCAAUAGUUUGAAUGUUGUGUACUAAAUUGUAUAGUUUGAACACAUAUUUUUUGUAUAGUUUGUAAAUAUUUAA